RNAcentral lists this ribosomal RNA (497 nucleotides) under uncultured bacterium. RNAcentral describes it as "partial 16S ribosomal RNA". It matches the Rfam family "Bacterial small subunit ribosomal RNA", at positions 28 to 507 of the family's 1533-position model. The record is from RNAcentral.
GAUGAACGCUGGCGGCGUGCCUAAUACAUGCAAGUCGAGCGAACAGAUGAGGAGCUUGCUCCUCUGACGUUAGCGGCGGACGGGUGAGUAACACGUGGAUAACCUACCUAUAAGACUGGGAUAACUUCGGGAAACCGGAGCUAAUACCGGAUAAUAUAUUGAACCGCAUGGUUCAAUAGUGAAAGACGGUUUUGCUGUCACUUAUAGAUGGAUCCGCGCCGCAUUAGCUAGUUGGUAAGGUAACGGCUUACCAAGGCGACGAUGCGUAGCCGACCUGAGAGGGUGAUCGGCCACACUGGAACUGAGACACGGUCCAGACUCCUACGGGAGGCAGCAGUAGGGAAUCUUCCGCAAUGGGCGAAAGCCUGACGGAGCAACGCCGCGUGAGUGAUGAAGGUCUUCGGAUCAUAAAACUCUGUUAUUAGGGAAGAACAAAUGUGUAAGUAACUAUGCACGUCUUGACGGUACCUAAUCAGAAAGCCACGGCUAACUACGUG